This 554-nucleotide ribosomal RNA is filed under the name uncultured bacterium. RNAcentral describes it as "bacterial SSU rRNA". It matches the Rfam family "Bacterial small subunit ribosomal RNA", at positions 7 to 548 of the family's 1533-position model. The record is from RNAcentral.
GAGGGUUUGAUCCUGGCUCAGGAUGAACGCUAGCUACAGGCUUAACACAUGCAAGUCGAGGGGAAACGGCAUUGAGUGCUUGCACUCUUUGGACGUCGACCGGCGCACGGGUGAGUAACGCGUAUCCAACCUUCCCAUUACUGUGGGAUAACCUGCCGAAAGGCAGACUAAUACCGCAUAGUCUUCGAUGACGGCAUCAGAUUUGAAGUAAAGAUUUAUCGGUAAUGGAUGGGGAUGCGUCUGAUUAGCUUGUUGGCGGGGUAACGGCCCACCAAGGCAACGAUCAGUAGGGGUUCUGAGAGGAAGGUCCCCCACAUUGGAACUGAGACACGGUCCAAACUCCUACGGGAGGCAGCAGUGAGGAAUAUUGGUCAAUGGACGGAAGUCUGAACCAGCCAAGUAGCGUGCAGGAUGACGGCCCUAUGGGUUGUAAACUGCUUUUGUAUGGGGAUAAAGUUAGGGACGUGUCCCUAUUUGCAGGUACCAUACGAAUAAGGACCGGCUAAUUCCGUGCCAGCAGCCGCGGUAAUACGGAAGGUCCAGGCGUUAUCCGG